RNAcentral lists this long non-coding RNA (807 nucleotides) under Heterocephalus glaber (naked mole-rat). RNAcentral describes it as "lncRNA (ENSHGLG00100035804.1)". Lineage: Eukaryota; Metazoa; Chordata; Mammalia; Rodentia; Bathyergidae. The record is from RNAcentral.
AAACAAGUCAGUAAAAUUAGGUGAGCUCACAAAGAAUUGGAUGUGAAGAAAGAAGCUGCAAGCAGAAGAACUGUAGUGAAAAUCUUUCCAACUUCACACAGUCCUCAGUGAUUUCUAUCAAGUAUUUUCUUAGUUGUGGCUCAGGUAAAGAACUGUCAUUGUCUUCUUCCAGAUUCUUCACAGAUACUUCCUCCUCUGGAGCUGACAAGAAGUGAGCCACACAGGGAAGCCUUGCCCAAGGGUGGGUGUCCCGGCCCGCAGAUGAGUCAAGGCUUAACAGAGUAAACAGCACUUCUAUCUCAGAAAACUGUGGGAAACGUCUUCAAAGGGAAAAAAGGGGAUCCUAGUUCCUGGGGCAAAGACCCUGGUCCUAUGACCAGAGAAACAGUAAAGUCACAGCAUGGGCCCAGGCUUGCCCCUGGAUUGGACUCUGAUUCUGACAUAUACAGAUAUUUGAUGCCAAGUCACAAAGGCCUGGGACUGCAGGAGGAGGAGAACAUUUUAUCACAGUCCAGUAAGAAUGUCCAAAGACGACUGGCAUGGUGGCCCACACAUGUAAUCCCAGCAAUCAGGAGGCUGAGGCAGGAGGAUUGUGAAGAGUUCAAGGAUAACCUGGGCUCCAUAGUGAGUUCAAGACCAGCCUGAACUACACAGUGAGAAUCUGUCUUAACAAAAUGAAAAAGGUGAGAGAGAGAGAGAAUCUCAUCUCCAAGGAGCAAUGAGGUGCUCUUGGCAUGAACCUGAUACUCACCAGAGUCAUUCUGUUUAUCUGUUGAACCACAUGCAACUCUCCAUCACCAUUUCCAG